This 159-nucleotide ribosomal RNA is filed under the name uncultured Naucoria. RNAcentral's name for it is "5.8S ribosomal RNA". It matches the Rfam family "5.8S ribosomal RNA". Rfam says of the family: 5.8S ribosomal RNA (5.8S rRNA) is a component of the large subunit of the eukaryotic ribosome. The record is from RNAcentral. Lineage: Eukaryota; Fungi; Basidiomycota; Agaricomycetes; Agaricales; Cortinariaceae.
UACAACUUUCAGCAACGGAUCUCUUGGCUCUCGCAUCGAUGAAGAACGCAGCGAAAUGCGAUAAGUAAUGUGAAUUGCAGAAUUCAGUGAAUCAUCGAAUCUUUGAACGCACCUUGCGCUCCUUGGUAUUCCGAGGAGCAUGCCUGUUUGAGUGUCAUA